AUCCAGCUGACGAGUUCGAAAUAGGAAGAAACGUAAGUGCUGGAU
Molecule: non-coding RNA, 45 nt
Filed under: Schistosoma mattheei
Lineage: Eukaryota; Metazoa; Platyhelminthes; Trematoda; Strigeidida; Schistosomatidae
Source: RNAcentral